This 1868-nucleotide long non-coding RNA is filed under the name Triticum aestivum (bread wheat). Its description in RNAcentral is "long non-coding RNA (TAES_LNC005299)". The record is from RNAcentral. Lineage: Eukaryota; Viridiplantae; Streptophyta; Magnoliopsida; Poales; Poaceae.
GCACUAGAUCAACUAGAUGGUUCCCCGCGCGUUGUGGCGGGACGUUAUAGCACUCCAAUCAGCUCGCGUGAAGGGUGCACAUUAAAAAAGAAAAGGAAGGAAAAGCAAGAGAAAGUAUCGUCGAUGUGGUGGUACAAUGUUUUAUCACCUACUUGAAAUUAAGGAUAAACUCAUGAUUAACUAACAUGCAAUUUAGAAAAAACAUCUUAUCAAAUGAUGUUACUUAGUAUGACCGAGUCAUCUUAUUGACUAUACAAACCUAUGCACCUAUAUAUAGAAUAAACUUUGGGAACAUUCCAUGUCUAUAUGCAAAUAGACUUCAAAAGCAACAAUGUUAUUACAAAAAGGGGGGUGCAAAAUUGUUAAUAUUUGUAAGGAAUGAUGACAUAUAAAAAAUGCCACUCAAAAACAUCAUGAGUAUAUUCUCUAUUAACAUUGGAAAUCAAGGGCGGCAUUGACCCAAAUCCUGCAACCACAUACAUAUACCUAAAAAAACAAAUUGAGAACCCUCUAUAUUUGCAACAAAUGUGAAAGCAUAAGAACUAAAAUUGAAAAGAGCCGCAUCAGUCAAGAAAAGGUCCAACCCUAAAAUGAUUCAUGUGUAUUAGAAUGUAAAUAAAGCAAAGCUGAAACUAAAUUAAAGUCUGACAGGAACAAUAGUUUAGAAGAAUCAUCAAAGGGGCAACCACGCACAAAUCACAUUAAACUGAACCAAUUAUUUAUUUUCGAAAUAGGACUGCAAAUUAUACAGUUCAAGGAACAUAUACCUAAAAGAAUAAUGGAACCCAAUUAAGAUAAUCUAAUCGAUAAAAAAAUGUUCGAUAUGAAGAAUAUUACCGUACAAUAGACAACUGGCUCAAGGUCUCAAGGGACGGGCAUGUAGCUCAAAGAACUCAAUGUUAGCAAGCAAAAUCAUCAACAUCGGGCAAAUUAGUCCAGGGCCCUCAACAUAAACAUCAAAAUAAUGAACUAUGAAGAAAGUAGACAAUAGUGUGUUAUGCAAAGUCAUAUUAUUUUAGGUACCAAAAGGAAUAGAAGACUCCAAGAAUAGUCCUAAAAUAGUUCGCAUCCAAAACGCAUAGUUGCAUUAACAUUUUGAGUUCUUGUAAUGACUACGGUAAGAUUGUUACUACAAAUAGGAGUAUAUGAGAAAUUAGACAGAUGUGCAAAUCCAUAUGAGUGACGAGGAAAAUAUUUCUUCAUACCUUCAUGCUUAAAUACCUCCAUAUCUUUAAAAACCAAAUUUAUGGUGCCGCGAUAGUCAAAAGUUACUCACAUCUAGUUGUGCUGAUGAUUAAAGCAAGAGUUAAUUACCCAAUUGUGCCAUCACUGAUCAGUUCAUCUAUAGACUAACUACCAUGAGCAGUACCAAGGCUUCUUUCUUCUCUUGAGAUCUAUAAUACCACAAGAACAUCAGUAUCAGACUGUUGAUUCGGAACAAUUAAUCAUACAAACAAUGGAAGAUGUCGACCGGCUGGUAAUACUCACCUCUAUAAUUGAAACACUGCGGCACCGAUCCGCCACUGGUACCGGGCCCACACCGCGUCCCUUGAUAUCCCGGCCUCCUCUUGAUAAAGCUCUUCUAGUUCAUCUGACAUGAUCUGGGCUAGAGAUGAAAAGGUGGCCCCUGCUGCAUCCGUGAUGGCGAUGCAUGCGUGUAUUCCUGGAUCCCGUGAUUGCUGCUACUACUUGAGCGAUGGGUUAGCCCCAAUGGCCUUAUUUUUACCACGGACAUAAAUUGUAGGCCUAAUAACGCAAAGAAAUACAAACUUGGGGACCCUUCACCUUGUUCGCCGCCUUUGUCGAAUCCGCUUUCGCUCACCUACCGCAAAUUACAGAAACUAAAUCAACUCCAGCUGGAACCAGGC